UACAGAGGUCUCAAGCGUUGCUCGGAAUUAUUGGGCGUAAAGCGCACGUAGGCGGCUCCGCAAGUCGGAUGUGAAAUCCCUCGGCUCAACCAAGGAAGUGCAUCCGAAACUGCAGAGCUUGAGUACUUAAGAGGAUCGCGGAAUUCCCGGUGUAGAGGUGAAAUUCGUAGAUAUCGGGAGGAACACCAGUGGCGAAGGCGGCGAUCUGGGAAGAUACUGACGCUGAGGUGCGAAAGCGUGGGGAGCAAACAGG
This 253-nucleotide ribosomal RNA is filed under the name uncultured bacterium. RNAcentral describes it as "partial 16S ribosomal RNA". It matches the Rfam family "Bacterial small subunit ribosomal RNA", at positions 524 to 776 of the family's 1533-position model. The record is from RNAcentral.